GGGAGUUUUGAACAUGGAGAAUGACUAGUUGUUUAAGCGUUCAAGUUAGGAUUACACAAUCAAUUACCUUCUGAAUGUAUUGUCUCUAUUUUCAAUAUCUGAACACACAAAGAAACUAUAAUCUCCUCCUUCACCUUAUCGGUCUCUUCUUUAUAGCAAUUCAGUCAUACCAAUAACUGCUAUUUCCACCAAUAUAUUCACCCUCAUAAUCUCUAACUGUAAUACUGUGCCCUCACAACUUUCUGCACACAAUUAUCCUUGUUCCAAUCAUUGGAAUUCUUCACACAGAACUACCAUUCACAUUACAGUGUUUCACACAAAGACAGACUCAUUCUCUUUGCUGAACUACAAUCAGAUUUUAGUAUUCAAUCUUUCUUCUUCUCAAAUAAUACGAAUCACAUUUCCAUUCCAGAAUUCACUUCACAAUAUUCAGAAACUCUCAAUCCUCUUAUUCAAAGAAAAUAACAAACGAAAGAAAAGAGAUAGCACCAAGCUUACCCCGGCUCACACUAUCACAGCGAUGGCACCUUAAUUAACUUCUACAACUCCUAUAUACUUUCCCCUGAUUCUCCAAAUUCUAACCGUAAUUCU
This 591-nucleotide long non-coding RNA is filed under the name Physcomitrium patens. RNAcentral's name for it is "long non-coding RNA (PPAT_LNC007034)". The record is from RNAcentral. Lineage: Eukaryota; Viridiplantae; Streptophyta; Bryopsida; Funariales; Funariaceae.